Molecule: RNA transcript, 1256 nt
Organism: Triticum urartu
Lineage: Eukaryota; Viridiplantae; Streptophyta; Magnoliopsida; Poales; Poaceae
Source: RefSeq, a predicted model, not a curated record
UGUUGGCUAAUUAAAGGGGCCCGAGGAGCGACGCGUGAGGCCGGCGCACACGAUUAACGACUCUGCGCUCAGGCUCGCUUUAAGACGAUCAGGCUGCUGUGGACCUCCCGAACCUGCGGCAAAAAGAAAAAAAGAUCCCACCCCAUGACCGCUCAACUACUACUUCCCCCCGAUCCCCCACCCCCCCCCCGGAUCCCACCCCCCCCGAGCCCCCGGCGGCCCUUCCCCCCCUCCGCCGCCAACACGCCGGAAGCUACCCCCACCACCGAAUCCCUACCUCCCCGCCGCCCUGCGCCCUGCUUCCUGGCUGCCGGCGCCGCCAUCCUCCUCGCCACCGCCAUCCCUUGGCUCGCCGCCACCAACAUCCACCCGGUGCGGCCGCCUCCAGCAUCCGCGGGCUCGACCUCCCACAGACGAGCUAUGGCCACCGGCGCGACCCAGCCCUCGCGCGGCGCCACCGGUCUGAAUCUUCACGCCCACCCUCGGCUGCUCCCGGGGAGGUCCCUCGCCACCACGCCGCUUUCUCCCUCUGACGCUACAGCGCACAAGCCGUUCACGUUCGUCACCCAUGUCCGUCCAAGUACUGGUCACCAUGUGCUCCUACCCGAACUUCAUGGGGUACCCGUGGCGGCCUUCACUGCGUGCGUCCGCCCCUCAUGUCUUCAUCACCAGAGCCGACGCCUCGAUCCUUGGUGGCUCCUUCCCCGUCGGAUUGCUCGGGGAUCCAGCUUAUGGACCCCGUCUACAUCGUCUCAACUAUGAGAAGUCCAAAGACAGCAGCGCGUGCAGGAAUCGCUUCACCGACAACGCGUUCCGGGCCACAAGCGUAGCUCUCGGUAGGGCGAGGACGGGCGCCCGCCCUACCUUGAUUUUCCGGGGAAGAAAAUUACGUAUAGCCGUCCAACGCAGUAUGAAGCCAGCCGGAGCUUACCUAGCUGCACGGAGCGGCGUGCAGAGCCGGCGGACGGCCGCAGUUGCGCGGGCCAGUGGAAAGUGAGAGCAGAGAGGCCGGUGGCCAGCUGGAGCAGCGAGGGCGGCGGUCAGCGUCCACACCCCGCCUGUGACGAGGACAUGACUACCUUGGAUACGACCAAAAAUAUUGCAUACAUGCAUAUUUGUCAGGUGAUUUCUAAUGCAAACUAUUCAAUAAUCUAUUUAUGUUAUCCAGAACAAAAAUACUUCACACACUUUUGUGUUUUGUCUAAUUGUAGGUGUAUGGGACAUUUGUACAAUCCACAUAUGAAGAUAAGGGAAAA